AUUGAACGCUGGUGGCAUGCUUUACACAUGCAAGUCGGACGAGUGGCGAACGGGUGAGUAACGCAUCGUAACGUACCGAGUAAUGGGGGAUAACUGUCCGAAAGGACAGCUAAUACCGCAUAGUAUUCGACCGGCCGAUGUCGGAUUAGCUGGUUGGCGGGGUAAAGGCCCACCACGGCGACGAGCAGUCGCGGGGCUGAGAUGAUGAUCCGCAACACUGGGACGGGGACACGGCCCAGACUCCUACGGGCGGCAGCAGUGGGGAAUUUUGGAACAUGGGCGCAAGCCUGAUCCAGCCAUGCCGCGUGUCUGAAGAAGGCCUGCGGGUUGUAAAGGACUUUUGUCAGGGAAGCGGUACCUGAAGAAUAAGCACCGGCUAACUACGUGCCAGCAGCCGCGGUAAUGC
Molecule: ribosomal RNA, 406 nt
Filed under: uncultured bacterium
Lineage: Bacteria
Description: partial 16S ribosomal RNA
Rfam family: Bacterial small subunit ribosomal RNA
Source: RNAcentral